This 253-nucleotide ribosomal RNA is filed under the name uncultured bacterium. Its description in RNAcentral is "partial 16S ribosomal RNA". It matches the Rfam family "Bacterial small subunit ribosomal RNA", at positions 524 to 776 of the family's 1533-position model. The record is from RNAcentral.
UACGGAGGGGGCUAGCGUUGUUCGGAAUUACUGGGCGUAAAGCGCACGUAGGCGGAUAGUUAAGUUGGGGGUGAAAUCCCGGGGCUCAACCCCGGAACUGCCUUCGAUACUGGCUGUCUGGAGGUCGAGAGAGGUGAGUGGAAUUCCGAGUGUAGAGGUGAAAUUCGUAGAUAUUCGGAGGAACACCAGUGGCGAAGGCGGCUCACUGGCUCGAUACUGACGCUGAGGUGCGAAAGCGUGGGGAGCAAACAGG